AUUGAACGCUGGCGGCAGGCUUAACACAUGCAAGUCGAGCGGGGGGAGGUAGCUUGCUACCGGACCUAGCGGCGGACGGGUGAGUAAUGCUUAGGAAUCUGCCUAUUAGUGGGGGACAACAUCUCGAAAGGGAUGCUAAUACCGCAUACGUCCUACGGGAGAAAGCAGGGGAUCUUCGGACCUUGCGCUAAUAGAUGAGCCUAAGUCGGAUUAGCUAGUUGGUGGGGUAAAGGCCUACCAAGGCGACGAUCUGUAGCGGGUCUGAGAGGAUGAUCCGCCACACUGGGACUGGAACACGGCCCAGACUCCUACGGGAGGCAGCAGUGGGGAAUAUUGGACAAUGGGGGGAACCCUGAUCCAGCCAUGCCGCGUGUGUGAAGAAGGCCUUAUGGUUGUAAAGCACUUUAAGCGAGGAGGAGGCUACUUUAGUUAAUACCUAGAGAUAGUGGACGUUACUCGCAGAAUAAGCACCGGCUAACUCUGUGCCAGCAGCCGCCGUAA
RNAcentral lists this ribosomal RNA (501 nucleotides) under uncultured bacterium. RNAcentral's name for it is "partial 16S ribosomal RNA". It matches the Rfam family "Bacterial small subunit ribosomal RNA", at positions 30 to 523 of the family's 1533-position model. The record is from RNAcentral.